UAAUUCUUGACUUAAAAUUUCAUAUCAUUAGUUAUACAUUUCAUUAUGUGCGUAUAUAUCAUAUUGCCUAUUCAUUGUGGCGAACGGUAACUAUUUCAUUUUGUUACUAUGAGUCCUACCUCAUAGGCUACAUUAUCUCUUCGUUGUAGCAAACGGAGUUUUCACAUUCAUUACUAUGAGCCGUACCUCAUAGGCUACAUUAUCUCUUCGUUGUAGCAAACAGAGUUUUCAAAUUUAUUACUAUGAGUCGUACCUCAUAGGCUACAUUAUCUCUUCGUCGUAGCAAACAGAGUUUCACAUUCGUUACUAUGAGCCGUACCUCAUAGGCUACAUUAUCUCUUCGUUGUAGCAAACGGAGUUUUCGAAUUCGUU
RNAcentral lists this long non-coding RNA (372 nucleotides) under Medicago truncatula (barrel medic). RNAcentral's name for it is "long non-coding RNA (MTRU_LNC001677)". The record is from RNAcentral. Lineage: Eukaryota; Viridiplantae; Streptophyta; Magnoliopsida; Fabales; Fabaceae.